RNAcentral lists this ribosomal RNA (440 nucleotides) under uncultured bacterium. RNAcentral's name for it is "partial 16S ribosomal RNA". It matches the Rfam family "Bacterial small subunit ribosomal RNA", at positions 338 to 795 of the family's 1533-position model. The record is from RNAcentral.
CCUACGGGAGGCAGCAGUGGGGAAUAUUGGACAAUGGGGGAAACCCUGAUCCAGCGACGCCGCGUGAGUGAUGAAGUAUUUCGGUACGUAAAGCUCUAUCAGCAGGAAAGAAAAUGACGGUACCUGACCAACAAGCCCCGGCUAACUACGUGCCAGCAGCCGCGGUAAUACGUAGGGGGCAAGCGUUAUCCGGAUUUACUGGGUGUAAAGGGAGCGUAGGCGGCAGCGCAAGUCUGGCGUGAAAUGCCGGGGCCCAACCCCGGAACUGCUCUGGAAACUGGGAAGCUGGAGUGCAGGAGAGGUAAGCGGAAUUCCUGGUGUAGCGGUGAAAUGCGUAGAUAUCAGGAGGAACACCGGCGGCGAAGGCGGCUUACUGGACUGUAACUGACGUUGAGGAUCGAAGGCGUGGGGAGCAAACAGGAUUAGAUACCCUUGUAGUC